Molecule: ribosomal RNA, 507 nt
Filed under: uncultured bacterium
Lineage: Bacteria
Description: partial 16S ribosomal RNA
Rfam family: Bacterial small subunit ribosomal RNA
Source: RNAcentral
GACGAACGCUGGCGGCGUGCCUAAUACAUGCAAGUCGAACGCAUUUUCUUUCACCGUAGCUUGCUACACCGAAAGAAAAUGAGUGGCGAACGGGUGAGUAACACGUGGGUAACCUGCCCAUCAGCGGGGGAUAACACUUGGAAACAGGUGCUAAUACCGCAUAAUCCCAUUUACCGCAUGGUAGAUGGGUGAAAGGCGCUUUUGCGUCACUGAUGGAUGGACCCGCGGUGCAUUAGCUAGUUGGUGGGGUAACGGCCUACCAAGGCUGCGAUGCAUAGCCGACCUGAGAGGGUGAUCGGCCACACUGGGACUGAGACACGGCCCAGACUCCUACGGGAGGCAGCAGUAGGGAAUCUUCGGCAAUGGACGCAAGUCUGACCGAGCAACGCCGCGUGAGUGAAGAAGGUUUUCGGAUCGUAAAACUCUGUUGUUAGAGAAGAACAAGGAUGAGAGUGGAAAGUUCAUCCCUUGACGGUAUCUAACCAGAAAGCCACGGCUAACUACGUG